Molecule: ribosomal RNA, 497 nt
Filed under: uncultured bacterium
Lineage: Bacteria
Description: partial 16S ribosomal RNA
Rfam family: Bacterial small subunit ribosomal RNA
Source: RNAcentral
GAUGUACGCUGGCGGCGUGCCUAAUACAUGCAAGUCGAGCGAACGGACGAGAAGCUUGCUUCUCUGAUGUUAGCGGCGGACGGGUGAGUAACACGUGGAUAACCUACCUAUAAGACUGGGAUAACUUCGGGAAACCGGAGCUAAUACCGGAUAAUAUUUUGAACCGCAUGGUUCAAAAGUGAAAGACGGUCCUGCUGUCACUUAUAGAUGGAUCCGCGCUGCAUUAGCUAGUUGGUAAGGUAACGGCUUACCAAGGCAACGAUGCAUAGCCGACCUGAGAGGGUGAUCGGCCACACUGGAACUGAGACACGGUCCAGACUCCUACGGGAGGCAGCAGUAGGGAAUCUUCCGCAAUGGGCGAAAGCCUGACGGAGCAACGCCGCGUGAGUGAUGAAGGUCUUCGGAUCGUAAAACUCUGUUAUUAGGGAAGAACAUAUGUGUAAGUAACUGUGCACAUCUUGACGGUACCUAAUCAGAAAGCCACGGCUAACUACGUG